GUAUACAUUUAUAUACAUACCGAUUGGCGAGUAAAACUCUCUGAACGGAUAAGAAAAAAAAAAAAAGAAAGAUGAAGAAGAUAAGAGAAACUAUAAUAGGGCUGUUAAUUAUUGAGAAUCAUCUAAGCGAUAUAUUAGAAAAGGGAUAUGCACGUGUUUGGAUACGUGUGUCGAUGCGCAUCGAUUGUCCGUGAAAUGGAUCGUACAAAUAAACGAUCCAUUUGUAACAUUGUUCUGUCACGGUCUUUUUCCAAGAAAAAGAGACGAAAGUAUACAAGAGAACGAAAGCAAAGAAAAUAAUAGGGGAAUGUCGCGCGUAGCUCUGCAUACGAUAGUUCGGAAAAGAACGACAGGAAACUAAGCAUACGACAAGACACUUGUCCCUUGUGUUUUACGACUCCCUUCAAAACAAACGAUUGUUAUAUUGUAUCGAGCACAAAAAGUUGCGUUACUUUUUUCUAUAAUGUUACGUUCAAUUGUAUUUUCGCGAGAGUAAACGAUUCUUUAGCUUUUCGAUUCUCACCUCGGAUUUGAACGUUUCAAAAACGCUCCGCUUUUUCGACGUUGCCGAACGAGAAGCGAUACACUUUUCGAUUUUGUUACACCGAUAUAAAUGGGUUAAUUCGAAAACUAAACGAAAGUUGCGCCGACUAAUCGUCGAGCUCUUCUCAACUCUAGUCGAUAGAGAGGAGUGUUUUUCGUGUUUUCCCUAUCGACGCGACGAGAAUCCACUCGGCAUUCUUUUUUAAUAUUCUCCAAUAUUCUUGUUAAUAUUCCUUUCGAUUUCCAAGGAAAUGAUUUUAAUCUGACGAUUAGCGUGAUUAUUCGAGGCAAAGUUGAAACGACCAAUCAACGAUCGGGAAAAAUCAAAAUGAAUCCGAGAUGUGCGGAUCGAUAAACGCGACGACAAGCGAGCAUGCAUCACACGGCUUGUAAGCCUGAACACGAGAAAGAAGACAAAAAUAGGUCUUUGUUUUUUUGAUCGACGACGCGAAAAUGAUUACGUUUUUAUUUGAUAAUUUUUGCUUGUUAUUAAAAGUUUACGUGACCUCUUGGGCACCACACUAUGAUUGUUAUUGAUGAAGUAUAUAUUAUACUAUAUAUACAUAUAUAUAUAUUUUAUAUAUGUAUAUAUAAUUAGUUCACAGCAUUUGAAUUUACUCUAAAUAAUUACUUUACACUCUAAUCACAUUUAUUUGCAUCCAUAAAUUGUUAUUCUUUCAUCAUCAGAGUUAUUCCAUUCAAUGUUAAAUAAUUAUAAAUAUUAAACAUAAUAUAUUAACUAUUUUCACUCAUGAGAAAGCAUCGUUACCUGUAUGACAAGUGACCAUAAGAGCAUAAUAAACAAUCGCUCAUUAAAUGCAUUCUGUUGUUCUUCAUUUCAUGACCUGGCCACACACGUUCCAUCCAUCUACUCCAUCGAUCCAUCCAUCUGUCCAUUCAGUGUCGCUGUAUGAUCGUCAUACGCAUUCUCUUGUCGUUUUCUUUUUUUUUUCUCUCUAUCUCUUUCAUUCACCAAAGACUGUUUCUCCGAGUAUACGUCGCAGAAGUUUCUACCGUAAAGGAAGAAAAAAAAAAAAAAAGAAAAAAAAAGAAACGUUCCUCGUCGAUGGAACGUCUUUUCUUUUCCUCUUUCUCUCUCUUUAUCUGUUUACCGUUUCGUUUCCGAUAACGGUGUCCAAAUGAAUUCUGUGCAAUUGUAAUUUUGUCGAAAUUAGGAAGGUUCCCAAUCGAUUGAUCGCGACACGUUCGUGCUUUAUUCGCGCGUCUCCUGUCUGACCGGACACGGUCUCGCUCCACUUACAACUUACGACGAAGCCUUCCAAAUUUUGAUAGAAAGCUCACGAGAGAUGAAAACACGCACUUCAUUAAGUGGUAGCAUGCGUACCUGUAAAUACGAUAAUGUACAAUUAACAAUUUUACGCGACUAGUCUGUAAGUUCUUUUAUAUGUACAUACACGAACGGGAGAAACGGGAAAAACAAAUGCGUUUGUAUAUGCGAUGUCAAGUUCACGUGCGUGUCUUGCCUCUGGUUUACUCCCGCGUUUCGUCACGGGGAACCGCGCGUUAAACCGGAGGAACGUGCGAAUAAUUCCGUAGGUACAAUAUUUUCGAAGCAUAUAUCGAACGGCGAAGAAGCGCAGACAUACCGUUACACUCGGAUUAAUAUUUAAUGUUAUCGUCGUUCUAUUGUACUCGUUCUAGCUAUGUGUCGGUUCUAUCGCGAACUUUGUCGUUGCUGUUGUUCUUGUUAAACGUAUCUCACGUUCGGAAUAGCAUAUCAUUCGGAAUAUAUAUGGCACUAAAGGAACCGGCGAGAUCGGUUGCCCUUGCAUUUCGUCAGCGUACAAAAUUCGGCGUACAAAACAGAAAAACCCGUGCUGUUCUAACUAGUCAGUAUAGAUAAGGGAAUGUAUUUUUUUACACCAUUGAUUUGUAAUAAAGAUAUUGAAAACGAAAGAAAAUUAAUCCAGUUCAGACAGAGGAGAUACCGAGAGCGCUUGUGUUAUUCGAAACGAAAAAAAAAAAAAAAAAAAAAAAAAAAGAGAAGAUAAGGAGAACAAAGCGAUAUCGAUGAAACCUUUGUGAAGCGGAUCGACGUUUUUCCUUUUAGUUUCACGCUUCUAGCUGUUGCUCAGUUAUUUUGCUAAACUCUGUUUCAGUUUUAAAUUUCCGUCUACCGAUUACGUUUGGAGUAAUUCGCGGUGGGACGAUUCGAUCGUGAUUAUGCGAAAUAUCUUCUGUUGCCGGAGCGCGGUGAUUUCAGUACGUUAAUAAACAUCGACCAUACUGGCUACAGUCAAAACGUAUUUUUUAUUCGAAUGAUAAGUGCACAUUCACAAAUGUAUUUAUAGUUUGUUGACAGCGUUUUUUUCGUUUUUUUUAGCUUCGCAUCUACAAAUUAAUAUACAUACACUAUGACACAGAAUUUAUUAUUCCUCAUAAGCAGUGAACGUACAUAAUUCAUUUUCACUUACAAAAUAUCUAUGCGUAUCAUACCGGUGAUUCUUUCCUUACUUAAGUUUUCAUUAAGUAUCGUUUGCAUCCGUUAUUAUAAUACAUACACGCAUUUGCUCCUACAAAGUUUCUUCACGCAUCCUUUUACAAAUGUGUACGCUGCUCUACCUAACUAAACUCUACUUAGGACCAUCAGUAAAAUGAACUCCUAAUCUGGUUCAACCAUUAUUGCCCUUAGUUUGUCCGACUAUACAGUGAUACUAUGUUGCGUAUUUCCCUUUUUUUUCCUGUUAAUUUGCUUGUAAAACAAAUGUUCACUGAUUCGUUAUUACCGUUAGUAUUCUAAUUAUUAUUAUAAUUAUCAUUAUUAUUACGUACUUUCCUGCUUCGGGCUCUCACAUGUUCGCGAACAAGCUAAUAGUGAAAAAGCGCUAAAAGUAUAGUUAUCGGUCUCCCGAAUUA
This is a long non-coding RNA of Bombus impatiens (common eastern bumble bee), 3420 nucleotides long. RefSeq lists it as uncharacterized. The transcript has 2 exons. The record is from RefSeq and is a predicted model, not a curated record. Lineage: Eukaryota; Metazoa; Arthropoda; Insecta; Hymenoptera; Apidae.